Long non-coding RNA from Cucurbita maxima (winter squash), 479 nucleotides. RefSeq lists it as uncharacterized. The record is from RefSeq and is a predicted model, not a curated record. Lineage: Eukaryota; Viridiplantae; Streptophyta; Magnoliopsida; Cucurbitales; Cucurbitaceae. The transcript has 4 exons.
CAAUCGUCUCUAACCUCCAUUUCUAGCACGCCCUUCAAUCCCAAAGCCAUAAUUAUUCAUCUCCCUCUCCCUUUUCUUCUUCUUUAUCUCUUUCUUCCUUGGCUGCCUCAAUUUCUCCCCCCAUCAACUGAUUCUUCCUCUGACAAAGUUGGAAUCAACCUGGAAAUUCAACGCUUUCUGGAUCAGUCAAGGGACUUUGGACAUUAAUAAGGGAAGUUCAUGGCAAUGGGGAGAGAGGAAGUCUCACCACAGGACUUCAAAACCACUAAAAAUGAUUGGAUUCAACACGCCAAGAAGAAUAACAUACGUCUUCCUCAAGGCUCCUUUACUGACUUUGAGUGGAAAGAUUAUUGUCCAGCAGUUUUCAGAAACAUACUAGAGCUAGAGAAAAUAGAGUAUGCUGACUAUAUGUUGUCCAUUUGUGGUGAUGAGACUCUAAGAGAAGUUUCUUCGCCCGGAAGAAUUGGCAACGUGAUAUU